UAACAGGAUUCCCCUAGUAACUGCGAGUGAAGCGGGAAAAGCUCAAAUUUAAAAUCUGGCGGCUUUGGUCGUCCGAGUUGUAUUCUAGAGAAGCGUUUUCCGCGUUGGACCGUGUACAAGUCUCUUGGAAUAGAGCGUCAUAGAGGGUGAGAAUCCCGUCUUUGACACGGACUACCAGUGCUUUGUGAUGCGCUCUCAAAGAGUCGAGUUGUUUGGGAAUGCAGCUCAAAAUGGGUGGUAAAUUCCAUCUAAAGCUAAAUAUUGGCGAGAGACCGAUAGCGAACAAGUACCGUGAGGGAAAGAUGAAAAGCACUUUGGAAAGAGAGUUAAACAGUACGUGAAAUUGCUGAAAGGGAAACGCUUGAAGUCAGUCGCGUUAGCUACAACUCAGCCAGGCUUGCUUGGUGCAUUUUGUAGUUGACGGGCCAGCAUCAGUUUUGACCGCAGGAAAAAGGCCAGGGAAAUGUGGCACCUUCGGGUGUGUUAUAGUCCUUGGUUGUAUACUGUGAUUGGGACUGAGGCUCUCAGCACGCUUUUGUUGUGCUUAGGAUGCUGGCGUAAUGGCUUUAAACGACCCGUCUUGAAACACGGACCAAGGAGUCUAACAAACCUGCGAGUGUUUGGGUGGUAAACCCGAGCGCGCAAUGAAAGUGAAAGUUGGGAUCCCUGUCGUGGGGAGCACCGACGCCCGGACCAGACCUUCUGUGACGGAUCUGCGGUAGAGCAUGUUUGUUGGGACCCGAAAGAUGGUGAACUAUGCCUGAAUAGGGUGAAGCCAGAGGAAACUCUGGUGGAGGCUCGUAGCGAUUCUGACGUGCAAAUCGAUCGUCAAAUUUGGG
Molecule: ribosomal RNA, 839 nt
Filed under: Byssomerulius corium
Lineage: Eukaryota; Fungi; Basidiomycota; Agaricomycetes; Polyporales; Irpicaceae
Description: partial large subunit ribosomal RNA
Rfam family: Eukaryotic large subunit ribosomal RNA
Source: RNAcentral